UCUUCAAUAGAACUCCCAUCUUAGUAAAUUUACCCCCUAGUGUGAAAACUUACCUCUCCAGGGCCCCAAUCCUCCUCAUUAGCUUGGCCUUCUGACCUCUUCAUUUAUUAGGAUUGGAGGGGUAUACUCAUGGAUCUUAAUGUGUUUUUUAUUUUAUUUUUUUUAUUAGAAACUAGACCAAGCUAUUUAGCUCUGCAACUGAUUGAGAUAUUUAAAUGGAACCUUCAAAUGAAUGGAGCUCCACAGCAUUGUUAAUACUUUUUUCAAAUAAUCACAUUUGUGAUUGGCUGGUACAAAAAGAGAGUCCCUGCUCUGAUCAUCUAGAGGACCACAUGUUAUGGAGGAGAGUAGCUGAGGAAUAACCACAUUUUUUACAAUUGCCCGUUUCAUCAUGAACAAAGUGACGCCUCUGUCCUUGGGAUAUAUAUACACUCUAUAAAUCGUCUUAAUGUGUUUCUUGCAAUGAAGAUGAGCGAAGAAUACGAAGUGUUCUAUCAUAAUAUUGAAAUAAAGUAUUAGAUUGAAGUAA
Molecule: long non-coding RNA, 529 nt
Organism: Pseudophryne corroboree (corroboree frog)
Lineage: Eukaryota; Metazoa; Chordata; Amphibia; Anura; Myobatrachidae
Exons: 2
Source: RefSeq, a predicted model, not a curated record